UCCGAAUGAAGGAAGCUCAUAAUUUAGCCCGCAAAGACAUCAACAGCAGCAGUGACCAAAUGAAGACAAGAAACGACGAUAGGGUCGAUGCCUCGAGGUUCCGUAAGAACGACUUGGUCUGGCUAUACAACCCCCGGAGAAGAAACGGAAGGUCCUAUAAGCAUCAAAGAGAUUGGGAAGGCCCUUACCAUGUAGUUAAAAGGAUCACAGAUGACGUUUGCCGGAUACAAGGAGGCCACCGGUCCAAGCGGAAGGUCGUCCACAUCAAUCGACUCCAUCCGUACUAUGGUGAAGCUGGAUCUGCCCGGGACGGACAGAUCUAAGGAGGGGGCAGUGUUAUAAACCUGGUGGUGGCACAGAUGGGGGUAGUGGUGUGUGUGUAGUCAGCCGACGCAAAUCGCCCCAGGCCAGCGCUAGACGAGCGGUCAACCGUGACGAGUUACGACGAUCGGCCGAGACGAGGGUCAACAAGAGAGUUCGGGAAGGAUCGCCGACGUGAACAGAGCUCAGGGGCGUCACGAGAGUUGUAGUCAUCUGACCACCUAGAAACGUCGAGCGGCGUUCUGUCCGGUUCGAGAAGGCCAGUAGGGACCCUAUAUAAGAGCGGAGGCGACGCAGUCAAGACGGUUCAGAAAGCGGGUUCACGACAGGAGUUCAGAACACGGUCGACUACAG
Molecule: long non-coding RNA, 675 nt
Organism: Biomphalaria glabrata
Lineage: Eukaryota; Metazoa; Mollusca; Gastropoda; Planorbidae
Exons: 2
Source: RefSeq, a predicted model, not a curated record